CCUACGGGAGGCAGCAGUGGGGAAUAUUGCACAAUGGGCGGAAGCCUGAUGCAGCAACGCCGCGUGCGGGAUGACGGCCUUCGGGUUGUAAACCGCUUUCGCCUGUGACGAAGCGUGAGUGACGGUAAUGGGUAAAGAAGCACCGGCUAACUACGUGCCAGCAGCCGCGGUGAUACGUAGGGUGCGAGCGUUGUCCGGAUUUAUUGGGCGUAAAGGGCUCGUAGGUGGUUGAUCGCGUCGGAAGUGUAAUCUUGGGGCUUAACCCUGAGCGUGCUUUCGAUACGGGUUGACUUGAGGAAGGUAGGGGAGAAUGGAAUUCCUGGUGGAGCGGUGGAAUGCGCAGAUAUCAGGAGGAACACCAGUGGCGAAGGCGGUUCUCUGGGCCUUUCCUGACGCUGAGGA
Molecule: ribosomal RNA, 402 nt
Filed under: uncultured Prevotella sp.
Lineage: Bacteria; Pseudomonadati; Bacteroidota; Bacteroidia; Bacteroidales; Prevotellaceae
Description: bacterial SSU rRNA
Rfam family: Bacterial small subunit ribosomal RNA
Source: RNAcentral